GACAGAGAGAAACACAGAGGGAGAGAAUAAAGUGGCAAAACAUUUUAUGCACUCCUAAAUUGUAAAAAGUACUAGUUUAUUAGAACCAUAAAACUUUAGAGUACAGGGUAAUAUGUGGGGAUGAAUGCCUGAGAAUUGCAUGUGCUUCCCACUUGUUUAUUGGUUAGGAUUUCAAACUUUUGAAUUCUAUCAUGUUACAUUGAAUUUCUGUUUGAUAUGGGUUGGAAAAGAAAGACUAGUACUGUACUGCAAUCUCUUUUGUCUACCUAACAUGCAUUCUUGAGUGAUCAUCAGUCAAGCCUCGAUGUACAACCAUUGUGGCCUUUGCUGCUAUAAGAAAUGUUUGUUUUUACUUUUGGUUCUGAUAUAUUUCUUAAGUGACAUUUUAUUUCUCUUCCAACAUCCUCUUAGCAUGUCAUGUCAUGUGGAUGCUUUCUACUUACCUAAUUUCACAAGUUUUAUGUAUGUUAGGUUUUGAUAAUCUGAUUUUUAAUAUUUUUCAUAUCCACUGUACACAACCUUUUUUGUAAAAUUUUUUCUGUUAUGCUGUAUAUUUAAUGUUUUAGCAAAUUGAGUGACUGCAAAGAUAUU
RNAcentral lists this unclassified non-coding RNA (591 nucleotides) under Hevea brasiliensis (rubber tree). Lineage: Eukaryota; Viridiplantae; Streptophyta; Magnoliopsida; Malpighiales; Euphorbiaceae. The record is from RNAcentral.